UACGAAGGGGGCUAGCGUUGUCCGGAUUUACUGGGCGUAAAGAGCGCGCAGGCGGUCGUUCAAGUCGAGUGUGAAAGCCCCCGGCUCAACUGGGGAGGGUCACUCGAUACUGAUCGACUUGAAGGCAGGAGAGGGAAGCGGAAUUCCCGGUGUAGUGGUGAAAUGCGUAGAUAUCGGGAGGAACACCAGUGGCGAAGGCGGCUUCCUGGCCUGUUCUUGACGCUGAGGCGCGAAAGCUAGGGGAGCAAACGGG
Molecule: ribosomal RNA, 253 nt
Filed under: uncultured bacterium
Lineage: Bacteria
Description: partial 16S ribosomal RNA
Rfam family: Bacterial small subunit ribosomal RNA
Source: RNAcentral